Long non-coding RNA from Vespa crabro (European hornet), 4560 nucleotides. RefSeq lists it as uncharacterized. The transcript has 3 exons. The record is from RefSeq and is a predicted model, not a curated record. Lineage: Eukaryota; Metazoa; Arthropoda; Insecta; Hymenoptera; Vespidae.
GUUUCCUCAAGAUUAUUACAAACACUUCGAUUGCUAUAUAUAAAACUAAUAUUCCUUCAAAUAUCUUUUAUUCCUCAAAUAUUGUUCAAUCAGCGUUUUAACGUCGAUUCAGUCUUUUUGAAGAGAUCUGUUCAACUAGUGCCUUGAUAAAUCUAUUGCAUGAAAAUCGCAGCGAGAGUAAACAAUAAAUAAUAAUAUUCCACAUGGACUAAUUGAAUUUCAUUUCAUUUUUAUUUGCCUUGUGCGCACUUUCAACAAAAUAUCGAGAGAGCACGAAAUAACUUCAAUUAAAUUCAAAGAUUCAAAAUUAUAUCCCAUAGAAUGAAAUACGCAUCGUUUUCUAAUUGAAAAUUAACAUUUAUUUUUGGAAAAGUUUGGAAAACGAAUGAAGAGCGAUGAACAAAGUAUAUUUUUCUAUCUAUAAGAUAUAUUUUUCGUCCGUUACUAACUACAUUUCAUACGAAAAAUGAAGAAAGAAGUGAUGAUAAGACAGGAGCAAAGUAAAUUAUUUUCUUCGUCCUCCCUCUCUUUCUCUCUCUCUCAUUAUCUAUUUUUCAAUGAUAAUCGUCAAUGUCAUUCAAUAAAAAAGAAAAAAUAGAUAUGUACGUAUUAUCGAUAAAUAUGUCACAUAUAUGUUACUCAUAAUGAGUUACAUAUAGUUACUCAUAAUGAGUAUCAAGUAAAUAGAAAAAAAACCUAUUUUAAAAGUUUCUUUUGGAUAUUUCAAAAAAUAGAAAGAUAUUCGUUUGCUAUCAUUUCAUGGAUAUGAACAUAUUGUAAAAUGAUUUAGACAAGUGCGUAAUAAUAGCUCAUAUCAUUUUAACUUUGGAUACUUUCAUUCAUUAGUUUUGAAUAAAAUUUGUACAAUAUAUAAUCCACCAUUCUCCAAGGGGAAUAAUAAGUAUAUUUUGAUUGUUUAUUAAUAAUGAAUCAUAAUCUCGGUAGUAAUUGAAAUCAAAUAUUUCCGUCACAGGUUGGAUAUUCAAGAAAAAACUUUCUAUGCUGGAUCUACUUAUAAUUGCAUCUCUUAAUGGUAAUCAAAUCAAUGAGAAAUAAAUUCGAGAAGAAAUCGAAAUACAAUCAUGAUUGACGUAAGUUGUAAUAUAUUAAUUUGUUUCGAAUAAUAUCUAAGAAAUAAAAAGAGAAAAUAAUUUUGUUAAAAAAAAAAAUCUUCAUAGAACAACGACAUUACGGGAAAUCGUAUUGUACUUUGUUUUAAAUUUCCUAACAAAAUUCAAAGAAGUUCAGAUGACAUUUUCAAUCCAAAACGAUUGAUCAAGAGAUUCAUUUCAUAACUAUAAUAAAUAAUUAACGAUCUAUUAAUAUAUAGAAAAAUAUAAGAAACGAAGUGAACAUAGUUAUGCGACAAAAAGAUAAUAAUUCGACAAUCUCGGUUCUAAAAAUAUUUUCAUACCUCCAAAUAUCUAUCAAAGUAUCAUUUUGUUUAUAUCCAAACAUUUCUCUUACAUUUCAUCAAAUUUUUCAAUAUUUUCAGCUGAUCAUAUGAUAUGUAUUAACAUAUCGAAUGAAUUUUCGUUUGAUCAUUUAAAACAAAUAUUUAAUCAUAUAUCAAUAUUUUAAAAAUUAUUUAGUCCCAUUCUAUUUUAUAUAUAAUAUAAAUAUCUACGGCAUACGAAGAAAUCCAUAAUACUGGCCAAAUUCCGAUGUUUUUCUUUUCGAUAAAUUCUCAUCGAAAAACGUGUAACAGAUGUGGAAAAGAAAAUAUUUUUUACUCAUAUAUCUCCUUUAGAACAAGAUUAAUAAAUCAUUUCGAAGAAUAUUACAUAUAGAAAUAAAAAAAAAAUAUAAAUCAUAGGACGAAGAUCUGAAAUGUUUAAAUUUGAAUUAAUGUUAGUUUGCAUAUUGUACAACUUAUUACUUCAAUAUGAAGUAAACUAUGGAUGAAUUUAAUAGCGACAAAAUAAAAAUGAAUAUUAUUUUCUCUCUAUCUAGAUCAUUUAAUGUCAAGUUUAUACAUAUCCAUAAAAUAGACAUUUUUUUCACAAUAUCUAUUCGAUUUUCAUUGAAAAUUGUGUAAGAUAUCAAGUGCCAUUAGUUUAAGGUCAAACAUUGCGGAUUUUUAUGAAUCAAUAAAAAUAAAUAAAAUCAACGAUAUCGAUCUUUCUCUUAUUUUUGCAUGUAAUAUAGAACGAUAUCAAUUUGUUGAUUCUGCACUAAAUGGGAUGUAUGUGCAAGGAUUACGUCCUUCUACAAUUUUCGAUUAAAAUUUAUCGGAAUCGAAAACAUCAGAAUUUGGCCAAUAUUCUGGAUUUGUUCGUACACUGAAAAUAUUCACAUUAUAAAUCGAAUCGGCUGGGACUAAAUGAUUUUGAGAAAAAAUUAAUAUAUAAUUAAUUAUUUGAUUUAAAUGAUGAAACGAAAAAUCAUUCGAAAUGUAAAUACAUAUUACAUGAUAAUAUAACGAAAUAGAAGGAACGCUUAAAUUAACAACGAUGUGAUUCAUAGAUAUAUCUUUCCAAGUAUAAAAAUUUUUUUACAGUCGAGAUCGUUAAUUUAUCAUCUCGUUGAUGUAUAAACAUAUUUAUCUUGUCUUACGUAACUUCUUAUAAAUUAUUAGAUCAUUAGUUAUUCAUUAUAGAUACAAAACACAUCCAUUUCGAUCAAUCUUUUGGAUUGAAAACAUUAACUGUAUGUUUUUGUGUUUUGCAAAUAUACACAAAACAAAAUACAAUGCUAUUGCCGUACUAUCAUAAGUCUACGAAGAUUUUUUCCUACAUAUUAUUUUCUCAUUUUAAAUGUUAGAUCACUUAGAUCAUUAUUCGAAAUAAAUCAGUAUACUACAAUCUAAAUCAAAUAUGAAAAUAUUAACUUAUUCAUAAUUUCUUUUUUCAAAGAUUUGAUUAUUAUUCGAAGAUGUUAUUAUACAUAAGUAGAUCUAUCAUAGUAAUUUUCUUCUGUAUGGAAUCCGUAAAAAAAAAAAGAUCAAAUAUUUAUAUCAAUAUUAUUCAUUAUUAUUCAACAAUUAGUAUACAUUUAUCAUUAUCCUCGAGCCUUUCAAAAGAAAUAUUAUUCUCGUUGAACAGAUCAAUUUUUUCUGAAUAUUUCCGGAUAGUUUGUUCAUGGAAAUGUUUUCUGUUUUGCAAUUAUAUAAAAUAAGAGUAUAAUGAUACAAAAAUCCUAUAAAAUUUUACAAAAUUAAGAUCAAUAUAAUUUACACGUUUAAACGACGAACCUAUCUGUUUUAAAAAACCAUGCAUCAUUUUCAAUAGUUCCUUUUAUAUUCGAUCAAGUGACUUAUGACAAAUGAGAUUGUAUAUAUGACAUCAAAAAAGUAAAAAGAUCUCGAUAAUUUAAUAGAACGAUAAAUAUUUCCAUAGAACUAAUUUUUCAUAUUCUUCAUAUUCAAAUUUAUUUCUAAUAAGAAAAUGAUUAAUUAUCUAUAUACCAUGAUUUUCCCAAAAGUUAGAUCAAAGUUUCUGUUUUCUUUUCCUUCGUUUGAUCGAAAAUUUACAAUCGUUUAUAUUAUAUAAAUGAUAGCAUACAUAUGAUAAUAUAAUAUGAUAAUAUAAUAUGAUAAUAUUAUACUUUAAUAAUAAUAACUUUUACUUAGAACCAAUGAAUAAAAUCUUCGACGUUAAUGACUUAUUGAUGGGAGAUAUUAUUUUUCGUUUGCCUAAACUUCUACGUAACAAGUUUAUAUCCAUGAAAUAAUAGAAAAUCAUUAUCUUUUUACUUUUUUUUCUUUGAUAAAAAUCUAAAUAUCAGUUGAUGACUAAGAGAUAAAUUAUGUUCACAAAAUGAAACAAAACAAAUAAAUAUUUAAGAUUUUUUAUUUUGAUACAUUUAAAAAUACAAUUGUUAUAUCGAAACACUAAAUCUAAUAAUAAUGUUAUAUUACUAAUAUACUUAACUUGCUUUUAUUACAUAGAUAUUUUAUUACAUAGAUCGCCUAAUCAACAAGUAAUGCUUAUCAUUUUGUUAUUCAUUAAUGUUUUUGAAAAAUAAGUCACGGCAUAUAAAAGUUUAAAAAGUCCUGUAUUAGACUGUAAACGUUCGUUAAGUGACAGAAAAUUUUGUUGAAAGUAUCUAUGCUGACAAACGAUAAUAUUAAAAUCAUUUAAGAAAUUGAAAAUGUUAAUUGUUUAACGUAAUGCGUUUUUCAAUUGCGUACAAGCAAAUUAUUUUUCUCAAUCUGUUAGAUACACUUCACGAGUUCAUCAAUAUAUAAUAUUCUUUCAAUAUUAUCUCUUAUUCCUUGAAAAUUAUUCGUUCGACGUUAUCAUGAUCCAACGAGUUAAUGAGUUCUAUUUUACCAGUGCAUUAAAUCUUCUAUUACCGAAAAGCCAUAGUACAAGCAUAUAAUGUAACCACGAUUUAAUUACUUUUAUCGAUUUUCUUGUUACAUAUGUAUGUAUGUAAGACGUACAUAGACAUCAUCAUAAAAAAUGAAAAAAAAAGACAAUAAAAGAAGAGAGUAAGAGCAUGCAAGCAAUAUGAAUUAGUCUUGAUUAGAUAUUCGAAAUAACAAAAUGUAAUUUUUUUGCGUUAAUUGAGGUUAUAAAUUUCGUUUAUUAUACUUUGUAUUUAUGUUAAUAAAUA